CGUGUAAUGACAUUAAAAUAUGAGAUGUGAAGCAGAGGUGAUUUCCAGGCAUGUUUUCACUCUGCAGAUAUAAAAACAGUGAACAGACUCUUCUAUUGGCUCCAGUUAGACCAACAUUGAUGCUUCAUAUAUGUUUGAUUCUAUAUAUGCAAACUCAGUGAGCUUCAGCUAUAAAACAUCACAUCAGGCUGUCAGAGGAGUUCACAGCACGUCAGCUUCAACAUCAACCAUGUUCUCUGGAGCUCUGCUGCUGCUGUUGGCAGCUGGAUGUGUGAAGGGUGAAACGUUGACUCAGCCAGCCUCUGUGACUGUGCAGCCAGGUCAACGUCUGACCAUCACCUGUCAGGUCUCUUAUUCUGUUAGCAGCUACCGCACAGCUUGGAUCAGACAGCCUGCAGGGAAAGGACUGGAGUGGAUCGGAAUGAAAUAUACUGGAGAUUCAUACUACAAAGAUUCACUGAAGAACAAGUUCAGUAUCGACUUAGCUACUUCCAGCAACACAGUGACUCUAAACGGACAGAACGUGCAGCCUGAAGACUCUGCUGUGUAUUACUGUGCCAGAGACACACAGUGAGAGACGAUAAUAGGAGAGUCAUACAAAAACUACUUCCUCUAUUUACCACCACCACUGGGAACACUCUGUUAUCUCAGC
Molecule: non-coding RNA, 652 nt
Organism: Sebastes umbrosus (honeycomb rockfish)
Lineage: Eukaryota; Metazoa; Chordata; Actinopteri; Perciformes; Sebastidae
Source: the annotation of a RefSeq genome assembly